UACGUAGGGUGCAAGCGUUGUCCGGAAUUAUUGGGCGUAAAGAGCUUGUAGGCGGUUUGUCGCGUCUGCUGUGAAAUUUCGGGGCUCAACCCCGAACUUGCAGUGGGUACGGGCAGACUAGAGUGUGGUAGGGGAGACUGGAAUUCCUGGUGUAGCGGUGAAAUGCGCAGAUAUCAGGAGGAACACCGGUGGCGAAGGCGGCGACCUGGGUAGAUACUGACGCUCAUGCACGAAAGCGUGGGGAGCAAACAGG
RNAcentral lists this ribosomal RNA (253 nucleotides) under uncultured bacterium. Its description in RNAcentral is "partial 16S ribosomal RNA". It matches the Rfam family "Bacterial small subunit ribosomal RNA", at positions 524 to 776 of the family's 1533-position model. The record is from RNAcentral.